This 1110-nucleotide long non-coding RNA is filed under the name Taeniopygia guttata (zebra finch). Its description in RNAcentral is "lncRNA (ENSTGUG00000020116.1)". The record is from RNAcentral. Lineage: Eukaryota; Metazoa; Chordata; Aves; Passeriformes; Estrildidae.
UUAAAAUUCAAUAUAUUCGCCCUUAAAAUUCAAUAUAUUUGUACUUAGUUAAUGCUUAUAUUAAAAUUUAUUAUGCAAAUGAGUAAAAUUUAUUAUGCUAAUGAGCACCAUUUAUUAAUCUGAUGAAUAAAAAUGGGUUUUAUUGAUAUUUAUAUUUAAUUUUUUGUCAUUUUUUUCUGUUUUUAGGGAAGCUCCGAGCGGAGCUCGCCAAAUGCGACGCCACCAUCCGUGAGUGUGAAAAAUCCCAAAAUUACACAAAAUUUGGGGGGAAAAUCCCAAAAUUCCAGAAUUUUGGAAAAAUUCUGUUAAUUUUACAGAAUAUUGGGGAAAAAAAAAAUCCCAGAAUUUCAGAAUAUUUUGGGGGGAAAAUCCCAGAAUUUCACAGAAUUCGGGGGAAAGGAUUUAAAUUUUAUGGAAUUUUGGGGGGAAAUUCCAAAAUUUCACAGAAAUUUGGGGUGAAAUCCCAAAAUUUGGGGAAAAAUCCCAGAAUUUCACAACAUUUUGGGUGGGAAAUUCCAGAAUUUCACAGAUUUUUGGGAGAAAAUUCCAGAAUUUCACAGAAUUUGGGGUGAAAAUCCCAAAAUUUGGGGGGAAAAUCCCAAAAUUCCGCAGAAUUUGGGGGGAAAAUUCCAAAAUUUCAAAGAUUUUGGGGUGAAAAUCCCAAAAUGUGGGGGAAAAUCCCGGAAUUUAAUAAAAUUUCGAGGGGAAAAUUCUGGAAUUUCACAGAAUUUGGGGGGAAAAUCCCAAAAUUUGGGGAAAAUUCCAGAAUUUCACAGAAUUUUGGGGGGAAAAUUCCAGAAUUUGACAGAAUUUGAGGGGAAAAAAUCCAAAAUUUUGGGUGAAAUUAACGGAAUUUGGCGAUUCCAGGGAUCUUCACGGUGGAGCUCGGCGAGCGCCACACGAAAAUCGGGGAGCUCACGGCCGAUGUGGGUGAGUUUGAAUUUUAUUUUUCUUUUACAUUUAUUUUUAUCUUUUUUAUUUUAAAUUUUUUAAAAUUUAAAUUUAUUUUAUUUUAUAGUUAUUUUAUAGUUUAUUUUUACUUUAUUUUAUUUAUAUUUAUUUAUUUGUAUUUACCUAAAUUUAUUUUUAUUUUUCUGUUUCUAUUUCUAU